AGCCAGUGUGGUGUGGUGGUUUGAGCAUUGGACUUCGACUCUGUAGACCAGGGUUCAAAUCCCUACUUGGCUA
Non-coding RNA from Phrynosoma platyrhinos (Desert horned lizard), 73 nucleotides. The record is from the annotation of a GenBank genome assembly. NCBI's taxonomy places the organism in Eukaryota, Metazoa, Chordata, Lepidosauria, Squamata, Phrynosomatidae.